Molecule: long non-coding RNA, 1412 nt
Filed under: Cyanistes caeruleus (blue tit)
Lineage: Eukaryota; Metazoa; Chordata; Aves; Passeriformes; Paridae
Description: lncRNA (ENSCCEG00000000205.1)
Source: RNAcentral
CUCUGUUUAACUGGUGAUGACCACACACUUUCAGAGAACAAUCCUCCAGCACAACAAAGGAACCAGGGAUUCCUGCAGCCCUGCCAAGCCUCACAUCCCCACAGCCCCUUAGUGGCCCCCUGAUCCCUCCAGGACUCCUGGCUGAGCCAGCAAGGCAGCCCUCCCCUCGGGGUGUGCAGGAACAUUUGCCACCAGACCUCACCAUAUGAUGGAUCCCGUGGGUCAUCAUCCAGCUCCAGUGCCUGUGCCCGGAUCUGCCUCUGGCUGUGCCCACGGAGGCCUCGUGCUCAGUCUCUGGGAGCAGCCUCUCCACCCUGGCAGUUGGCUCCAUGCUGGGUUUUGCUCACGCUUCUGAGCUCAGGAAGCAAAGUGUUAUCAAGUGCUUCUGAAGUGGUGGUGGCCCUCGAGCUGAGAACCAGAGCACUUCACCAGCUCUUUGUUCCCUUUCUCGGAGCUGUCUGGCUCUUCUCAAAGGACUAACAGUUUGCAGAUGCUGUUUGUUCAAUAAAAAGAGUAACCUCGUCUCCAGCUUCAGUAAAAACGUCUGCAAGAACUGCUGCUUUCUGCCUUGCUCCCAGCAGUGCAUCUGGGUGUUCUGUCACCACAAAAAGCAGAGAGGCCGGGGUUUGAGUCAAGGCCUGAGGUUUGGGGUUUUGGGUUAAGAUCUGGGGAGAGAUCCACUCGUUAUUGAGGACAUCCUGCAGCCCUGCCAGGCUCUGAAGGCAACACAUGGUGACAAGGUGCUGAAGUCAUCAUCCUAAAUCAGAGAUUUUAGUGGCUGACAUUCAGUAUUCUGAGAUUUUUCAAAAGCAUUUUAAAAAGCCUGAAGAGCAGUGGAAUCCUGGGUGGUUCAGGCUCUCUAGGUGUUUGCGAGUGAUUCAUCAGAACACUCUGACAGCAGCUUUUGUACAAUUUGUUGUCUCUGUGGACAGAGACAACAAAUCCCAGAUGGGUGAAGUAGCUUUGGCUGAAUCUGGGGUUGAUCUGCCUACAAAACCAGGGUGGCCCUACAUCCUGCCCUUUCUCUCCUCUACCUGUGCCCUGUCUGGAAGCAGGAGCCCGGAAUGGAAAUGUACAGGUGUCCCCUUGAUCCAGUUUCCAUGGUUGCCGCAUCGAGGUGGGGGCUACAUCUUUUUUUUAUAUAUAUUAAUAAUUUUAUUACAGUGGCUUCAUUCCACUGGCGAAGAAGGGAAGGGGGGAGAAUGUGGGGGAAUAAAAAAUGCUGGAUGAAAAGGCCAUGUUCCUGUGCCUGGGCUUAUUUGCUGUCAUUCUUUUUCUCUUAUUAGCAAGCACUGUUUUCCAAGAUGCUCAAAGUCCAAGAGCUCACUAACGAGAUCCCAGCUCUCGCUGGUGUGGGGGGAACAGCCCAGACAGCUGUGCUGGAGCCAAAUGUCUGUGGGGCCACCUCAGAG